GACGAACGCUGGCGGCGUGCCUAAUACAUGCAAGUCGAACGAGAGCGACCGGUGCUUGCCCUGGUCAAUCUAGUGGCGAACGGGUGAGUAACACGUGGGUAACCUGCCCAUCAGAGGGGGAUAACAUCCGGAAACGGAUGCUAAAACCGCAUAGGUCUUCGAGCCGCAUGGCUUGAAGAGGAAAAGAGGCGCAAGCUUCUGCUGAUGGAUGGACCCGCGGUGCAUUAGCUAGUUGGUGAGGUAACGGCUCACCAAGGCCGUGAUGCAUAGCCGACCUGAGAGGGUGAUCGGCCACAUUGGGACUGAGACACGGCCCAAACUCCUACGGGAGGCAGCAGUAGGGAAUCUUCCGCAAUGGACGCAAGUCUGACGGAGCAACGCCGCGUGAGUGAAGAAGGUUUUCGGAUCGUAAAACUCUGUUGUUAGAGAAGAACAAGUGCUAGAGUAACUGUUAGCGCCUUGACGGUAUCUAACCGGAAAGCCACGGCUAACUACGUG
Molecule: ribosomal RNA, 498 nt
Filed under: uncultured bacterium
Lineage: Bacteria
Description: partial 16S ribosomal RNA
Rfam family: Bacterial small subunit ribosomal RNA
Source: RNAcentral